CUAGUACUUCCUCCGUCCGAAAAUACUUGUCAUCAAAAUGGAUAGAAAUAGAUGUAUCUAGAACUAAAAUACGUUUAAAUACAUCCCCUUUUAUUUAUUUUGAUGACAAGUAUUUCCGGACGGAGGGAGUAGUAA
This is a non-coding RNA of Triticum aestivum (bread wheat), 135 nucleotides long. The record is from Rfam. NCBI's taxonomy places the organism in Eukaryota, Viridiplantae, Streptophyta, Magnoliopsida, Poales, Poaceae.